UGAGACAUUUAUAUUGAGCUUUGACUGAGAGGUUGUCAACAACCACAUCACUUUCUUCACAUCUGCCUGAUGUUUGGCAGUUACUACUGCUUCAACAUACACUACCUGGUGUUUAUUUUCAAUAAAUCCUGGAAGAAGAGUAAAAAAGUGUUAUUGGUCAAUCCCAGAGUCUUGACACUGAUCUCAGACCUUGCCAACCAUGAGUGGACCUACCAGUGAUGUUGAGGGAUGAUGUGAUAAAAGGAGUUUCUUCUCAUCUACAGAGGCACCAAAGUUGAGUGUAAAAAGAAGAAAAUAAUCACUGGCUUUUUCAAACUGGUCUUAUUUUGACUAUUUAACUGAAGUAUCAGGUCCAAUACCAAUAUCAGCAUCUGGAUUUAUGCCUCCCAGAUUUUUAACCUAAUCCAUUAAAGUACUGUAUAUUUACUCACUUCUUUACUAUCAAAUCAAAGUGUAACGAGUUAUACCAUCUAGUGAUUAAAAUGCAUAAAACAUAAGAGUUAAAGAGAGGUUUAUCUAAAAAGGAUAAAUGACAGAAACUUGAGAAU
This is a long non-coding RNA of Cynoglossus semilaevis (tongue sole), 548 nucleotides long. RefSeq lists it as uncharacterized. The record is from RefSeq and is a predicted model, not a curated record. Lineage: Eukaryota; Metazoa; Chordata; Actinopteri; Pleuronectiformes; Cynoglossidae. The transcript is spliced from 3 exons.